This 756-nucleotide long non-coding RNA is filed under the name Homo sapiens (human). Its description in RNAcentral is "non-protein coding lnc-PDE6B-1:13". The record is from RNAcentral. Lineage: Eukaryota; Metazoa; Chordata; Mammalia; Primates; Hominidae.
GGAGGGGGUUGUUCAAGGGAUGGGGACGAUCAGGGUCUCUGGGAAGUGCUGACGUGUGCGCGUGUGCGGUGUGUUGCUUGUGGGUGCGUGUGUGGUGUGUGCAUGUGUGUGCGCGCGCGUGUGUGCGGGGUGUGCCGUGAGCGUGUGCCCGCGGUUCGGGGGAUGAGUAGGGGCGCUGACUUUUAGGACCAGCCAUUUGAGUCAAGCUGGAGACGACGUCUUAGAACCUAGGAUGAGUCUCGUUUGGUUUUAGUCUGCAAAGCUCGUCUGCAUCAGACAGGAAUUUUCCCCAGACGCGGGUGCACGUGAAUUAAUUCAUCAGAAGGCGGUUCACGGCCUGAGUGAGGGGGACGAGGGCGGCGAAUUCCUCCGCCUCAUUCCUACCCUGACGAUUCGAGCACCAGCCUUAGCAAGUUCUGGCCUGUGGAGCCGUCAUCCAGAGCGCACAGCUUCAUGCCCUUGAAGGGCGCAGUGUGUCCCGUGGUGCCCGGUGGGCCCGGACAGAGACCCCAGAGGCUCUGUCUGAAGGAAGCUGCACCCACAGACUCCAUCCAGGCAGCGCGGGCGCGGUCCUGUCGCCUACCUUUCUCGGAAGCCAUCUGCCCAUGUGAAUCUAUGUGAAGGCCCUUCAUGCGCUCCUGGACAUCUGCGUGGGAUUUACUUCAACUGCUAUCGCUGCGAGGAGGACGAGCAUGUUUCACUGUAUUUUUAGCAGAGAGUGCAGAUUUUAGAACCUCGCGAACGGUCCUGUAUCUC